ACACGACUACAUUAGAUACCCGCCGUAGUCCCAGCCCUAAACGAUGCGCGUUAGGUGUAUCGGUGACCACGAGUCACCGAGGUGCCGAAGGGAAACCGUGAAACGUGCCGCCUGGGAAGUACGGUCGCAAGGCUGAAACUUAAAGGAAUUGCGGGGAGCACCACAACGGGUGGAGCCUGCGGUUUAAUUGGACUCAACGCCGGGAAGCUCACCGGAUAAGACAGCUGAAUGAUAGUCGGGAUGAAGACUCUACUUGACUAGCUG
RNAcentral lists this ribosomal RNA (264 nucleotides) under uncultured archaeon. Its description in RNAcentral is "partial 16S ribosomal RNA". It matches the Rfam family "Archaeal small subunit ribosomal RNA", at positions 717 to 982 of the family's 1478-position model. The record is from RNAcentral.